Pogoniulus pusillus (Red-fronted tinkerbird) is the source of this 2812-nucleotide long non-coding RNA. RefSeq lists it as uncharacterized. The record is from RefSeq and is a predicted model, not a curated record. The transcript is spliced from 2 exons. Lineage: Eukaryota; Metazoa; Chordata; Aves; Piciformes; Lybiidae.
AGGGUGGGUGAUGGGGCUGGGGCGCGACGCGGAGCUUCCCGCUCCCUCCCUCUCCCCCGCCCCCCCUCCCCCCCGUUGCGCACUAUUAUUUUCCGGGCGGCGGUGUUUACGCGGGCGGGGCCUGCCGCCGCCGCGGGGGUGCGGCUGCCCGCCGGGCUCGGGUGAGGCCGCGGCAUGAGCGGGGGCUGCUCCAGUGACCCUUCCCCGGUGGCUUCCAGCGCGCCGCUCGGAUGGAGGAUGGCGAGCGGGGGUGAGAGGGGCGAGACUUGGACGGAUUUUGGUUGAAACCGUGCUAAUCAAGAUGGAAAUGGGGUUUGCUACCUGUGCGCCUCAUAAUCCUCAGCAGAGGCAGGGGGAGAGCAGUUGGGUAGUACUGGAAGAUACUUGACCGGUGCUUUGGGGUGGGGAGUCACAAGCCUUGCGGGUUGUGGUCAGGGCACAUCAGGAAUUCCAUCAGUGUGAUGCUAAAAGAAUUUUGGUUCAUGCAAAACAAGUUAAAUGCAUAGGAUUGUCAGCCCCAAAGGGACAGGAGAUGGAACUGGAGCUUUAAAAAAGCAGCCAGACAAACUUAGAGGGCUUUCAAAAGCAAGAACUGGCAGAAAGAGCUGGAAUAAAACACUGGAAACUAGAGGUUUAAAAAAAAACCCGUGGAAAUACACAAUGCUUUGGCAGUAACAAGAACAAAAAUAUGUGCUGGACUCUGAGAGUGAUGUGGGUUUUGCAGGUAGUGAUAGGGAACCGACUUAGGCUUUUUGUGUUGAGUCUGUGUGUCUUUAGUCUGAAGCCAAGCACAAAUCAUCACGUGUGUGCUGAGAUGCAAGGAAACAAAUCAUAUUUGUAUGACCACGAGCUGGAUCCUCUGGAGAAAAUGGCAUCGGCCCUCUAGCAUAUGUGUGUAACCUGAAGAGCCUUUGUGCCACAGGGUGUCGGGGAGGAGUUCUUCACCUUGGUGGUCAUGGUACGUUUAAAUCCCAUAAUAGUAGCUUCUGGAGCAGGAGGUGAAAUCUUGUAACAGUGUUUGAGGAGUGCCUGAGCUACAAAAUAGCAAUUCUCAUCGCUUCAGCCUGUGGAAUGUGGGAUUCCCAAUCCUACAUUUAUGACAUUCUACUGAAACAAGUAAAAAAUUUCUGCUGUGAUAGUAGUGCUGUUGUAAAACCACCUUGGAGUGAGAACAAAUGGUUUUGGUCAUGUAGCUUCCUCCCUUCUCAAAACUCAUCCUUGUGUGUGCAGAACUGACUAACCUUUUUUACCAAGUUGUGGGGCUUUUCUGUUGUUUUGGGCUUUUGGCUUUUUGAGCCUUUUUUCCCCCCUUCCUAUGUUGCUUUAAUGAUUAAUCUACAAAUGGUGAUAAAUCUGCAAGUUUUAGGAUGCCACAUUGAAGUGAUCUGUGCCAUCUUACGUCAGGAUUGCAUAAUCUGUUGACUGUCCCCUUUUUUUAUGUAAUGUAUGUUUGGAGUUUGUUUUAAAAUGUACAAAUAUUUUUUUUCCACUGCGUGCUUCUGCUCGGGUUAUUUCAGAUUUGUCUCUCCAUUGCCCUCUGGAGUUAAACACUUGCAUGGCACUAUUUUGAUAGCUAGCAGACUGUUAAAUGGUUUGUUGGUUGGGUUUUUUUCCUCUUUUAAAACCAGUUUCCAUCACAUCUUAGGACAUGCUGUUCUCCAGGUAAGUUUAGAGCGUUACACCCCUGCUGGAGGUUCUGCUUCCUCUCGGUAGAAAGAUGAGAGCAGCUUGUGCUGCUGAAAUUCCUCUACAUCAUACAUGGAGUUUUCAUAAAAACUUAGUAACACAUUAACUUCUCCCGUGCAACACUGUUGUGUGCUUUGAACUCAUUGCAGAACUCAGUGUCUUUGAUUCCCUUCAUGAAAACGGGGAGCUGUUGAAAUAGUUCAAUGAUCUCAGCAAUGCCUGGUGUUAGGAAACUGAAAACAAAGCAAAAAAUGGGUAAAAUAAGGUUGAUGUAAGCUUAUAGACAAGAAGUUUGCAGUGAAAGUGUUUAUUUCAUGGCUUUAUUUGAAUCCUGUGGCCCCAGAACACCCAGAACAAGCUGCUUGCUUGGAGCACCUCAAAACUUUAGGCCCCUCUUUUUACUCCAGCCAGCUGCCUGGCAUUGGGUGCUGCUCCCAUCAGUAGGCAUCGGAAUGGGUGCCAGCUCCUGAAGUUCAUGUGACAAAACUGAUUUAAGCCCAGCUAAGUUGUUCCUGGUGCUGUAAAAUUCCAGCACCCAGCAGCCUGCUUGGCUGUGAAAGCCUGUCUGGCUGUGUGCAGCAGGCAUGGCACGAUGUUACCCUCGUGGUUUCACUGCUACCAGUGCCGCUCCUCGUCUGUCACAAGUGGUGUGGCUCCAUUAAUUUACUGGCGCUCUGCCAUUGUACCCACCGCCUGCCUGCUUCAUGACAUUCAAUACUUAAGUAGUAUAACUCAAGUGCUUCUUUCUAGUUCCAGUGGUUUUCAGGGGGAGAGAGGGAUGCCCCCAUUCUCUAUGGUGAUGACUUUGUAGGGUGCUAAGUCACCUUUGCUCCAUGAAGUCCAGCCCUGGUGGUUUGGGCCAGAGGAGUCAAUUGCUUAACAACAGUUAGAGCUGCACUCCAGAAACUGCUGUGGUCAUUAAGAUCACAGUAAUUAUCUGCAUAAUUUUCAGACUGAAACCUCAGGUGCAAAGCCACUUCUGUGAAAUGCUCCUGGGCAUUUUAGCAGGUGGCUGGUCAUCUUUUGGAGGUGAUGUGGGCCUUUGGGGACACCUGUGGAAUGAGGAGAUGGAGGAGGCUGGGCAGUGCUGCGGUGGGGACACAAUGACUGACAGGCUGCCCUGGCU